AGCAGUUUCUCGUCCCAGUGUUUUGUUCGUGAUGCCUUUUGCAUUCCUUUCUUCCUCUGUCCGGCUGCUCCUGCUGGUUGGGUUCCUAGGACCUCACACUUGGACUGCAGCCUCCUAAGGUUCUUGACCUUGUUGCACACCUGGGUGACGUUACAGGGCUUCACUCUCAACAGAUUCAGCCUCUCUGAGAUGGGAUGGAGGCAACAGAUGUUGCCUGCGUCUUAUGACAAGCUUCUGAGUGCCACCAAAGUUCCCCUCUGCCCUUAG
RNAcentral lists this long non-coding RNA (267 nucleotides) under Aotus nancymaae (Ma's night monkey). RNAcentral's name for it is "lncRNA (ENSANAG00000039050.1)". The record is from RNAcentral. Lineage: Eukaryota; Metazoa; Chordata; Mammalia; Primates; Aotidae.